Molecule: ribosomal RNA, 496 nt
Filed under: uncultured fungus
Lineage: Eukaryota; Fungi
Description: eukaryotic LSU rRNA
Rfam family: 5.8S ribosomal RNA (bases 196-351)
Source: RNAcentral
UCCGUAGGUGAACCUGCGGAGGGAUCAUUACACAAUAUGAAAGCGGGCUGGCAUCCUUCGGGGUUACAGCCUUGCUGAAUUAUUCACCCGUGUCUUUUGCGUACUUCUUGUUUCCUUGGUGGGUUCGCCCACCAUAGGACAAACCAUAAACCUUUUGUAAUUGCAAUCAGCGUCAGUAAAAAAAUUAAUAAUUACAACUUUUACAACAGAGUCUCUUUGGUUCUGGCAUCGAUGAAGAACGCAGCGAAAUGCGAUAACGUAGUGUGAAUUGCAGAAUUCAGUGAAUCAUCGAAUCUUUGAACGCACAUUGCGCCCUUUGGUAUUCCAAAGGGCAUGCCUGUUCGAGCGUCAUUUGUACCCUCAAGCUUUGCUUGGUGUUGGGCGUCUUGUCUCCAGUUCGCUGGAGACUCGCCUUAAAGUAAUUGGCAGCCGGCCUACUGGUUUCGGAGCGCAGCACAAGUCGCGCUCUUCCUCAGCCAAGGUCAGCGUCCAACAA